GAGUUUGAUCAUGGCUCAGAUUGAACGCUGGCGGCAGGCCUAACACAUGCAAGUCGAGCGGAAACGAGUUAUCUGAACCUUCGGGGAACGAUAACGGCGUCGAGCGGCGGACGGGUGAGUAAUGCCUAGGAAAUUGCCCUGAUGUGGGGGAUAACCAUUGGAAACGAUGGCUAAUACCGCAUGAUGCCUACGGGCCAAAGAGGGGGACCUUCGGGCCUCUCGCGUCAGGAUAUGCCUAGGUGGGAUUAGCUAGUUGGUGAGGUAAGGGCUCACCAAGGCGACGAUCCCUAGCUGGUCUGAGAGGAUGAUCAGCCACACUGGAACUGAGACACGGUCCAGACUCCUACGGGAGGCAGCAGUGGGGAAUAUUGCACAAUGGGCGCAAGCCUGAUGCAGCCAUGCCGCGUGUGUGAAGAAGGCCUUCGGGUUGUAAAGCACUUUCAGUCGUGAGGAAGGUAGUGUAGUUAAUAGCUGCAUUAUUUGACGUUAGCGACAGAAGAAGCACCGGCUAACUCCGUGCCAGCAGCCGCGGUAAUACGGAGGGUGCGAGCGUUAAUCGGAAUUACUGGGCGUAAAGCGCAUGCAGGUGGUUUGUUAAGUCAGAUGUGAAAGCCCGGGGCUCAACCUCGGAAUAGCAUUUGAAACUGGCAGACUAGAGUACUGUAGAGGGGGGUAGAAUUUCAGGUGUAGCGGUGAAAUGCGUAGAGAUCUGAAGGAAUACCGGUGGCGAAGGCGGCCCCCUGGACAGAUACUGACACUCAGAUGCGAAAGCGUGGGGAGCAAACAGGAUUAGAUACCCUGGUAGUCCACGCCGUAAACGAUGUCUACUUGGAGGUUGUGGCCUUGAGCCGUGGCUUUCGGAGCUAACGCGUUAAGUAGACCGCCUGGGGAGUACGGUCGCAAGAUUAAAACUCAAAUGAAUUGACGGGGGCCCGCACAAGCGGUGGAGCAUGUGGUUUAAUUCGAUGCAACGCGAAGAACCUUACCUACUCUUGACAUCCAGAGAACUUUCCAGAGAUGGAUUGGUGCCUUCGGGAACUCUGAGACAGGUGCUGCAUGGCUGUCGUCAGCUCGUGUUGUGAAAUGUUGGGUUAAGUCCCGCAACGAGCGCAACCCUUAUCCUUGUUUGCCAGCGAGUAAUGUCGGGAACUCCAGGGAGACUGCCGGUGAUAAACCGGAGGAAGGUGGGGACGACGUCAAGUCAUCAUGGCCCUUACGAGUAGGGCUACACACGUGCUACAAUGGCGCAUACAGAGGGCAGCCAACUUGCGAAAGUGAGCGAAUCCCAAAAAGUGCGUCGUAGUCCGGAUUGGAGUCUGCAACUCGACUCCAUGAAGUCGGAAUCGCUAGUAAUCGUGGAUCAGAAUGCCACGGUGAAUACGUUCCCGGGCCUUGUACACACCGCCCGUCACACCAUGGGAGUGGGCUGCAAAAGAAGUAGGUAG
RNAcentral lists this ribosomal RNA (1445 nucleotides) under Vibrio alginolyticus. RNAcentral describes it as "16S ribosomal RNA". It matches the Rfam family "Bacterial small subunit ribosomal RNA". The record is from RNAcentral. Lineage: Bacteria; Pseudomonadati; Pseudomonadota; Gammaproteobacteria; Vibrionales; Vibrionaceae.